Mastomys coucha (southern multimammate mouse) is the source of this 128-nucleotide long non-coding RNA. RefSeq lists it as uncharacterized. The transcript is spliced from 3 exons. NCBI's taxonomy places the organism in Eukaryota, Metazoa, Chordata, Mammalia, Rodentia, Muridae. The record is from RefSeq and is a predicted model, not a curated record.
CAGAUCAGAGUGUCCUGUGAGCUGAAGCUUGAAUCCACUAACUUCCAACAUCACCAAUGGCAAAUCUGAACAUGGCUGCCCACUAGCUGCACAAGGCCUCCUCAACUCAUGCAUGGACUCACCCAUGG